Molecule: ribosomal RNA, 423 nt
Filed under: uncultured bacterium
Lineage: Bacteria
Description: bacterial SSU rRNA
Rfam family: Bacterial small subunit ribosomal RNA
Source: RNAcentral
UUUGGAAUAUUGCACAAUGGGGGAAACCCUGAUGCAGCGACGCCGCGUGGAGGACGAAGGAUCUAGGUCUGUAAACUCCUUUUGCCAGGAAAGACUUAGGACGGUACCUGGCGAAUAAGCCCCGGCUAACUACGUGCCAGCAGCCGCGGUAAGACGUAGGGGGCGAGCGUUGUCCGGAUUUACUGGGCGUAAAGAGCGCGUAGGCGGCUAGUUAAGUGAGAAGUGAAAUCUCCAGGGCUCAACCCGGAAACUGCUUUUCAUACUGGCCAGCUGGAGGGACGCAGGGGUGACUGGAAUUCCCGGUGUAGCGGUGAAAUGCAUUGAUAUCGGGAGGAACUCCAACAGCGAAGGCAGGUCACUGGGCGUUUCCUGACGCUGAGGCGCGAAAGCGUGGGUAGCAAACAGGAUUAGAUACCCCGGUAG